AUGCAGUUGGUACGGUCUGGCAAGACAACGAUUAACAUUAACGGUGAGGUGGGGCCAUUCUUCUCGUCUUCUGCGGGAGUGAAGCAAGGGGACCCAAUACCCUCCCUUCUCUUUAAUCUCGCCGUGGAUGCGCUGGCAGGAAUCCUGGACAAAGCUAGGAGGGCCGGCCACCUCACGGGAGUUGUUGGUCACCUCAUUGGAGGAGGGGUCACCCAUCUCCAAUACGCCGAUGACACCAUGAUUAUGGUG
Molecule: ribosomal RNA, 249 nt
Filed under: Triticum aestivum (bread wheat)
Lineage: Eukaryota; Viridiplantae; Streptophyta; Magnoliopsida; Poales; Poaceae
Description: partial small subunit ribosomal RNA
Source: RNAcentral